This 266-nucleotide ribosomal RNA is filed under the name uncultured bacterium. RNAcentral's name for it is "partial 16S ribosomal RNA". It matches the Rfam family "Bacterial small subunit ribosomal RNA", at positions 335 to 593 of the family's 1533-position model. The record is from RNAcentral.
ACCCCUAUGGGGGGCAGCAGUAGGGAAUCUUCCACAAUGGGCGAAAGCCUGAUGGAGCAACGCCGCGUGGGUAAAGAAGGUCUUCGGAUCGUAAAACCCUGUUGUUAGAGAAGAAAGUGCGUGAGAGUAACUGUUCACGUUUCGACGGUAUCUAACCAGAAAGCCACGGCUAACUACGUGCCAGCAGCCGCGGUAAUACGUAGGUGGCAAGCGUUAUCCGGAUUUAUUGGGCGUAACGGGAACGCAGUCGGUCUUUUAAGCCUGAU